Molecule: ribosomal RNA, 497 nt
Filed under: uncultured bacterium
Lineage: Bacteria
Description: partial 16S ribosomal RNA
Rfam family: Bacterial small subunit ribosomal RNA
Source: RNAcentral
GAUGAACGCUGGCGGCGUGCCUAAUACAUGCAAGUCGAGCGAACAGACGAGGAGCUUGCUCCUCUGACGUUAGCGGCGGACGGGUGAGUAACACGUGGAUAACCUACCUAUAAGACUGGGAUAACUUCGGGAAACCGGAACUAAUACCGGAUAAUAUAUUGAACCGCAUGGUUCAAUAGUGAAAGACGGUUUUGCUGUCACUUAUAGAUGGAUCCGCGCCGCAUUAGCUAGUUGGUAAGGUAACGGCUUACCAAGGCAACGAUGCGUAGCCGACCUGAGAGGGUGAUCGGCCACACUGGAACUGAGACACGGUCCAGACUCCUACGGGAGGCAGCAGUAGGGAAUCUUCCGCAAUGGGCGAAAGCCUGACGGAGCAACGCCGCGUGAGUGAUGAAGGUCUUCGGAUCGUAAAACUCUGUUAUUAGGGAAGAACAAAUGUGUAAGUAACUAUGCACGUCUUGACGGUACCUAAUCAGAAAGCCACGGCUAACUACGUG